CCACCCACACGCAGACCAACAAGACUUCCAGCUUCUGCUGCAGCGUGCGGCGCCAAGCAGGGCCGCCUUACCCAGUGACCACCAUCAUCGCUCCGCCGGGCCACACAGGCGUCGCCUGCUCUUGCCACCAGUGCCUCAGUGGCAGCAGAACUGGCCCUGUAUCAGGCCGCUACCGCCACUCCAUGACCAACCUCCCUGCAUACCCCGCCCCCCAGCACCCCCCCCACAGGACCGCUUCUGUGUUUGGGACCCACCAGGCCUUUGCACCAUACAACAAACCCUCACUCUCCGGGGCCCGGUCUGCGCCCAGGCUGAACACCACGAACGCCUGGGACGCAGCUCCUCCUUCCCUGGGGAGCCAGCCCCUCUACCGCUCCAGCCUCUCCCACCUGGGACCGCAGCACCUGCCCCCAGGAUCCUCCACCUCCGGUGCAGUCAGUGCCUCCCUCCCCAGCGGUCCCUCAAGCAGCCCAGGGAGCGUCCCUGCCACUGUGCCCAUGCAGAUGCCAAAGCCCAGCAGAGUCCAGCAGGCGCUCGCAGGAGCGACCCCGAAGCCAGAGCCAGAGCCAGAGCAGGUCAUAAAAAACUACACGGAAGAGCUGAAAGUGCCCCCAGAUGAGGACUGCAUCAUCUGCAUGGAGAAGCUGUCCGCAGCGUCUGGAUACAGCGAUGUGACUGACAGCAAGGCAAUCGGGCCCCUGGCUGUGGGCUGCCUCACCAAGUGCAGCCACGCCUUCCACCUGCUGUGCCUCCUGGCCAUGUACUGCAACGGCAAUAAGGGCCCUGAGCACCCCAAUCCCGGAAAGCCGUUCACUGCCAGAGGGUUUCCCCGCCAGUGCUACCUUCCAGACAACGCCCAGGGCCGCAAGCCUCCAGGGGCUUCCAGAACCCGGAGACACUGGCUGACAUUCCGGCCUCCCCACAGCUGCUGACCGAUGGCCACUACAUGACGCUGCCCGUGUCUCCGGACCAGCUGCCCUGUGACGACCCCAUGGCGGGCAGCGGAGGCGCCCCCGUGCUGCGGGUGGGCCAUGACCACGGCUGCCACCAGCAGCCCUUCUGCAACGCGCCCCUCCCUGGCCCUGGACCCUAUCGUACAGAACCUGCUAAGGCCAUCAAACCUAUUGAUCGGAAGUCAGUCCAUCAGAUUUGCUCUGGGCCAGUGGUACUGAGUCUAAGCACUGCAGUGAAGGAGUUAGUAGAAAACAGUCUGGAUGCUGGUGCCACUAAUAUUGAUCUAAAGCUUAAGGACUAUGGAAUGGAUCUCAUUGAAGUUUCAGGCAAUGGAUGUGGGGUAGAAGAAGAAAACUUCGAAGGCUUAAUGAUGUCACCAUUUCUACCUGCCACGUAUCGGCGAAGGUUGGGACUCGACUGGUGUUUGAUCACGAUGGGAAAAUCAUCCAGAAAACCCCCUACCCCCACCCCAGAGGGACCACAGUCAGCGUGAAGCAGUUAUUUUCUACGCUACCUGUGCGCCAUAAGGAAUUUCAAAGGAAUAUUAAGAAGAAACGUGCCUGCUUCCCCUUCGCCUUCUGCCGUGAUUGUCAGCUUCUUGAGGGCUCCCCAGCCAUGCUUCCUGUACAGCCUGCAAAACUGACUCCUAGAAGUACCCCACCCCACCCCUGCUCCUUGGAGGACAACGUGAUCACUGUAUUCAGCUCCAUCAAGAAUGGUCCAGGUUCUUCUAGAUGAUCUGCACAAAUGGUUCCUCUCCUCCUUCCUGAUGUCUGCCAUUAGCAUUGGAAUAAAGUUCCUGCUGAAAA
This is an RNA transcript of Homo sapiens (human), 1763 nucleotides long. It is a transcript of the gene named DTX2P1-UPK3BP1-PMS2P11 readthrough, transcribed pseudogene, with no coding region annotated. The record is from RefSeq and is marked validated. The transcript has 11 exons. NCBI's taxonomy places the organism in Eukaryota, Metazoa, Chordata, Mammalia, Primates, Hominidae.